This 9176-nucleotide long non-coding RNA is filed under the name Phoenix dactylifera (date palm). RNAcentral's name for it is "long non-coding RNA (PDAC_LNC010070)". The record is from RNAcentral. Lineage: Eukaryota; Viridiplantae; Streptophyta; Magnoliopsida; Arecales; Arecaceae.
AGUGCUAGCAGUUGCAGAAUACUUGAAGGCUAAAAUCUGCUCGCCAAGAUUCAAUCAACUCUUGAUCAAUCGUCUUGAAGCAGAUGGAGAUGAGAUUUGUAAGGAAGGUAGAGGACUCAGAUCUGAUCUUGAAUCUUCGAGAUAUCCACCCUGAAAAACCUAGCUAAAAUGAAGAAGAAGAGGAAGAGGAGGCGUGUGAGGAAGAAGGCUGCAAUGGAUGCUUUGCCGGCGCCCAUGUUCGACCCCUUUUAAUGGCCUCCGAAUUUCAUUCAAAAUUCAAAAAUUAUCUUCAAAAAACCUCCUUUAGUUGGCGCAUGCAAUGAAAUAGGAACAACCCAAAUCAAAAUCUCAACCAAAUCUGAUUUAAAUUCAAAUUUUAAACACAUGCGCAAGAGGGGAGGAAUUUGAAAUCCAUGCGGCAGAAUUUUCCUUCCUCUUGUCGCAUAUAUUUCAUUUGAAAUUCGAAUUUAAAUGAUUCAGAGGUUCACACGCCAGCUUGGAAAGUUAUUUGAUGUAUGAAAUCAUUUAAUAUAUUGUUUAGUGUUUGAAUUCAAAUUCAAACAACAAACAAUGUCGCCAUGUGUCAAGCAAUGGGUCCAUGCGCCAUGCAAUAAUUUUGGUUUAUUUAAAAUUCAUGAAAUCCAAUUCCAUGUCACCACUAAUUGCCACAUCAUCUGAAACUAAUCCCCUUGGGUUGCACCUAAUCAAAUUUGGUCAGACCCGGAUUAAAACAAAGCAAUUUGGUUGAACCCAAUCUAAUCAGGUCAGACCCUGAUUGAGCUCAAAUUGAAUCCAAUUCAAUUUUUGGCUCAUCCAAACUCAAUCAAAUUGAAUUAAUUACUUUUUGUUGGACCUAAUCCAAUUAGGUCAAUCCCCAAUUAAGCGCAAAUUAAUUUAAAUUUAAUUUGAUCGGCUUAAAUCCUUUUUGGUUCGGACCUAGUCCAAUCGGGUCAAAACCCUGAUUGAGCCCAAAGUUGAAUCAAUCAAUUUGGUUCAUCCUUAGCUCAAUUACUCAAUCAAAUUGAAUUCAUUAGCAAUCUAAUUACUAAUUAAUCCUCCGAUAAUUACUUUAAUUAUUUUACAAGAUAAUUUGCCAAUCGAAUUGACCAAAUUACCCCCGAAUGAUUCUUAAUCAUUCAUCAGCCUUCUUGAUCAAUCAGGAAUCUUCUAUGCGUGUGACCUCAUAAGUUCGAACCUAAGCCGGUAGUAUAGGAACGACUUCCUACACUAAUCGAUGUAACCAUCUAGCAAUGGUACCCGACGUCCGGAUAGGCCGAAUAUAUGCAAAACAAAUAUUCUGGAACUCUGGACUAUGGUUACUGUAUAAUUCAAUCCCUUUGACUCCUAAUGCCAGGAUGACUUAGAGCUCACUAUUAUAAUUAGUACAUCCAUUAUGUGAUUAACUUUAGAUAUCUCGUGACUCCUCACUGGGAUUACUCUGGCCAAGAUUUUGCUAAAUUAAUCACAAGACAUUAUCUCCUGUUUUUUAGAAGGGAUCAAUUCCAUCUUGACUCACAACUGACUAUGCAAGUACUUGACUGCACCUAGUGACCUUCCGUUACUGAAUUAGAAAUUCAGGUAGUCCGGUACCAAAGUAUAGUAAGUUGCUUGCUAGUUACAGAUUGCGGUUUUAGGUCAGAGGGCCAAACUUAUACCCAUAUCCACUCGGAACAUCUCUCGACAGUAGAGCGUUCCGGAAUUGGUCAUGUUCAGUGAAAUGUACUCCUACACUUCACCUGUGUGGCAUACCAGUGUCUCCACACUCCUUGGUUAAGAGGACAACCAACGUAUAUGUCACACAACGACCUAAUCUCGAUAAUGCUGUCGUCCUUGCAACAACAUAUCAUUUGGUCGCGAACUGCUUUAAGGAUUCAAAGAUAAAUCCUCCUUUAUCAUUAAUAAAUCCUAAGGACUUCAUCAUAUAAGAGUUCAUUUGAAGAUGUAAAAUGAUGAAUAAUGCCAAUAAAUACUUUAUUGAUUUGUCAAUUCAUUUACAAAAUUCAAUCAUCAAAAUGCUGACGAUUGACAUUUAGGAUACAAUUCCCAAUAGGAAGGAUGUCAACAUAAUAAAAUGUCUCACAAGGGCUUGACAGAAACGUUUUCUUCUUUUGACAACCCUGGAGGGACUGAUGCAUAAGUGUACCAUUUAAUAGAGACUUAAUUAAAAUAAUUCCUUCUUCUAACAUCCCUGGAAGGACUGUCUGCACAAAUAAAAUGUUUCAGAGGGGCUUAACUAAAAGUUUUCCUUUUAUUGGCCAAACGAAUUCGGGUUUUGGGUCGAAACCCAAAAACCCGAACCCGUUAUGCCCCUUUUUUUUAAAUGCAGACGGGUUAACGAUUAAUUUAUGCCAUAAAUUAAUUUUUUUUAAAAGAACUGAAGAUGGGUCGGCCCGACCCGUCUUCCUCCUCUUUCAGCGGCGGGUUAGCAUUCCGCCGAACCUAGCCCGCCUGCCUCCGAUCUCCGGGCGGCGAGCGCCCGCCUGCCUCCGGUGGACUCGCCGCCCGAUGGCAAGCCCCCCGGCGGUCGCACGCCCCCAGGGGCAACGAGGAGCGGCGAUCGGCGUUCAUGCAGUCUGCUGCCGGAUGCAACGCCGCCCGACGGCGACUACCCGAGCGAUCGUGCCGCCCGCAGGAAUCCGCCGCCCGACGGCGACUACCCGAGCGAUCGUGCCACCCGCAGGAAUCCGCCGCCCGACGGCGACUACCCGAGCGAUCAUCCUGCAAGUUUUUUUUAAUAAUCUAUGAAGUGUGUGAUGGAGGCCAUGGCCGGCGGCUACGCCAGAUCCUUUGAUGACUCUCGGCGCCAUAUGCCGGCCAGAUCCGGCAUUGGGAUGGGAUGAAAGCCAUGGCCGAGAGUCGAUGCCGGAUCCCGUGUCAGCUCUCGGUGCCAUAUGCCGGCCAGAUCCGGCAUUGGGAUGGUCCAACCCUGUGAUGGUCGGGCAAGCAUCCAUUGCCUUGUCCCUGCUAUCAUGGAGGAUUGUCCAUGGCUUGAUGGACUGUCAAAUAAUAGGCCUUUUACCGUGAUCUAGUUCUACCCUUUUAUUAUGAUCUAGUUCUAGAAUGAACCUGGCUCUGAUACCACAUGUAAACAUGUGUAAAUAGGAUCAUAAACAGAACCAUGAAGGGUAGCGUACCUGGAUCCAUGGAUUUGCUGAACGAUCAGUAGUUCUUUUCUCCCUCAUGACCCCUGUUUAAACACCCGAUGAUGGAGACCGAUUUUGUGUUCUCGUUAUAGGCAGAGGUUGAGACCCCUUCGUAUAUCCUACCAUCAAGGAUAUUAUGCUUCCACUUCUCUAGGAGUCAGUUACGAUGAUUGUCGUAACUGACCACGUUGUGGUCAUGUGGGUCAAAACUAACAGUAAUUAUCAGUCUAGUUUGAUCUAGCUUGCCCUAAACCCUAUGUGGUGGUAGUAGUUCUUGCUCGGCUUCCAUUAUAAUUAGCGGUUCAUGUGCUGGUAGUGGUACUGGUUUUUGUACGACUGCUACUAUAUAUUAUUAAAACAGAGGUGUUUUAUUGUGCUUUUUUAUUUUUAUUAGAGUAAAAAAACAAAUUUAUACCAUAGCUUAUCAACAUGAGAGGUUGUCGGAAAACUUCUUAGUGAGCACGAUAAACGAUAUAGUUAAACAAGAGAUUACCAAUCAUCUCGUAGUAAUUUCUCGAAGAAAACACACAAUAUUUAUCUACUUUUGCCCACAAAUGGGAAAAAAGAAAGAUCACUCCCUAUAUUGAUUUGAGUAUGUGGUACUUCACAACAUAUACAGAUGCCGGUCCGUUCUUCGGACUGCAAGAUUUUCUUUUAUGUACAGAUGAUUCUUAUAUGCAGGUUCUCAAGAACAAUGUUUCGAUCCCAUCGGACAGGCUUUUCCUGUCAACAGCGCAGAGAGAUAUUGGUGCUUCACACGUCUCUUUUACGAUAGAAAAGGAAAGCCGAUACGGAAAGUGCCGGUGGGCAAAGGCAGCUGGAAUAUGUGCCUCACAGAGUCCAUGAAGAACGGAGAUGGAAAAUAAUGGUGCAAGCGAAAAUUGAAGUAUGACAAGAAUGAAGUUGACACACUCAAGUUCAAGAUGACACAAUAUUCGCUUGGAGGAAAAGAUGAUAAGGUGAGAACUAAGAAAAGCUCGGAGGAAAGUUUAGCUCUCGACCCUUUUCUGCUUUUUCUGGUAAAGAUCUUUAAGUUUGGCUUGAAAGUUAUUGCCAGUUUGCCCAGACUUACUCAUUGAUCCCAAGUGACGCAUCUAAUAAGAUUGAUGGUCUCUCUUGCCAUCGCUAUUGCAGCCCAACUACGCUAUCUGUCAGAUUUCUCGGAUCACUAACACGGCGGCUGGAUUUCAGGGCGCCGCAGGGGACUCUCGUCCUCCAGGCACAGGUCAGAGGGAUCUCUCCCAAAACGACGUUGUACCACCAAUUUUAGGGAGAAAAAAAAAGAUGGUCAAGAUUUUUAAUUUGAUAAGUAAAAUACCACAUGCAUGCAAGUAAGAGAGAAAAUUUAAUAUUACCUAGAAAUAACAAUCACUUGAGCAAGAUAUAUUCCACUCGAGAAUAAAUCAAAUUGCUUGCAUCUAUGUGCCUUACUUUUUUCCAAUUCAUGCAUCUGAAUUUUCUUUUCCAGUUCGUUGUUGCUAUAAGCAAGCUAAUUUGUUUCAUUAAUUGUGCGGCAUACUAUGGAACACAUGUUUCAUGCAUACAAAAACUUCUCGUAAUGUGAGCAUUUUCUGUGACUUGUGAAAAUUAGUGGAAUAAAUGGACGUUUAGGUGAUGAUUUGUUUUUUAAUAAGCGUGGUUCGAUGAUGAGUUGCCAGGCCCGCAUCUCAUACACCCAGUGAACUUUGUGAGCUUGCACUAAAAGGCACCCCCAAAAAUUUUCUUUAAUUAAUUAUCUUUUAAGUUUUAGGAGGAUCCCUAGUUUCAUGAUUUGUCGCUCCUUUGAUUAAUAUGUUUCUAAUUAUUGAGAUGCUUGGAUGUUUGAAACAUUUUUAGUUGCCAUUUUUAAAACUUAAAAUAUAGUUGGCUGCCUGGGUACUCACUUGAACGCGAGAUGGUGGGAUGGGACUUUUAUUAAUUAGAUGGAGUGAAUUCCCAUAAUACCCCUACUUUCUCUCACAGAGAGGUUCCUUUUCGGACAAAUUCUUUCCUUUACCUUGACCAUGAAGUGCCAUNNNNNNNNNNNNNNNNNNNNNNNNNNNNNNNNNNNNNNNNNNNNNNNNNNNNNNNNNNNGUCUCAGUUAUUUAAUCAGUUUUAUGGGCCCUUCCAUCAAGAGAGAAGACUCGUAGCCAGCUCCUGUUCCCGUUUUAUAUGGGGCCUUUGCUUCCUUUUGGUUAGCCUCCCGGGGGCCUUCCAUUGGCCCGAGGCCUUAGGCGACUGCCUCGGUCGCCUAGGGCUCGGGCCGACCCUGGUGCAAUAAAAGAGAUACAAAGACUAUAGGAUAAAUUUAAUUUUAACUAAUUUAUACUUUUAAAUAAUAUUUUUAAAUUUUUAUGUACUAAAAAUAUAAAAUGUUAUAUACAUAUUUCUCAACAAACACCCUAAUAAACUCAUAUAUAUAUAUUUUUUUGUAUGCAUGAAACAUGUGUUCCAUAGUAUGCCGUACAGUUAAUGAAACUGCUCAAGUGAUUAUUAUUUUUAGAUAAUGUAAAUUUUCCCUCGUGUGCGCAUGCAUGUUGUAUUUUACUUAUCAAAUUAAAAACCUUGACCAGUCUAUAUUUUUUUCUCCCAAUACCUGGUGGUACAACAUCGUUUUGUGGGAGAUCCCUCUGACUUGUGCCAGGAGGACGAGAGUCCGUUGCAGCGCCCUGAAAUCUAGCCGCCGUGUGAGCGAUCUGAAAAAUCUGAUAGACAGCGUACUUGGGCUGUAAUAACGAUAGCAAGAGAAACCAUCAAUCUUAUUAGAUGCAUCGUUCGGGGUCAAUGAGAAUCUAGGCAAGCUAGCAUUUACUUUCAAGCCAAACUCAAAAGGUCUCUACUAGAAAAAAAGCGAAAAAGGGUCGAGAGCUAAACUAUCUUCUGAGCUUUUCUUAGUUCUCACCUGAUCAUCUCCUCCUCCAAGCGAAUAUUGUGUCAUCUUGAACUUGAGUGUGCCAACUUUAUUCUUGUCAUACCUCAAAUUCGCUUGCACCACUUUUCUCCACCCCCGCUGCCUAUGGUCUUUGUAACACGCAGAUUCCAGCUGCCUCUGCCCACCGGCACUUUCCGUAUCGCCUUUGAUUGUUUAUCAUAAAAGAGAGGGGUGUAGCCCAGAUCAAGUUUGAUUUGAUUACUCAAAUGACUUGGGCUACACCUCUGAACCUAAAUCAAGUUUCAUCUUGGUCUAAUCAAAGACAUGGACUUUAUCCAUCUACAGCUAUUGUAAAUUGAUCUAGAAUUUUCUUAACCUAAUCUAGUUACUACUUAAUUAGAUUUGAUCAAUUAAUUCUAUUAGUCCAUGUAUGAUUCUAACCUUAAGUCUAACCCAAUCAUAGGAACAUGAUUCAAGCUAACCCAUAUGCCCAAAGAAUUAUGCAAUGUCAAUUAAUUGAGUUACAAUUCUAUUUCAUAACACUUAAUUCUCAAUUAAAUUUAGACUUAUGAAAGUUUUGAUCAUUGCAUAUUUCUUUUAAUUACAUAUUAAUUACAAUCCUUCAGUUCUUAAAACUCAUUUUCAGAUCUGAGUAUUUGUAAUUAAUCAUAUAUAAUCAGGUUUAAUUCAUGUUUAAGUCAUUUUGUUUUAUGUUGAUGCAUCACAUAUACAUAACAUGAAUUGAUACAAACAUACAUCUUAUGCAUUUGUUUUUUCACUUUUAUUUUCAGAUCUGAUUUGUUCAUUAAAAUCAGAGAUUAUAUGAAUCAUAAACUUUAUUUAGAUCUAAUCUAAACAAUAUUAUGAUUUCAGAUUUAUUUAUGUUACUAAUCCUAACACAAACAUGCAUCAUAUGCAUCCAAAAUUUCAGAUCUACUUAAUCAUGCAUAAUCAGCAAUUAAAUCAAUCAUAAAAAGCACUUUAGAUCUAAUCUAAACAUGUUAAUAAUUUCAGAUUUAAUUGCAAAAAUUAAAAUGUAAAAGUUUAAAUAUGAACCUGGCUCUGAUACCACUGAAAGUGAAUCCUAGGUUCUUCGGAAUUUAGCAUGCUGAAUUUUUUUUUUUUGAAAAACCAUGGCUGAACCUGAUCGGGUUGCCUACGUACCCCUUCAUAAGAGGGAUCAAGCCACACGUAGUUCUUUUUAAGUUUCAAAAACGGAGCGAAAAAAUGAAUCAAACAAUUUAAUUCAUGCAUGCUUACAAGAUCAAAUCUACAAAUCAGCACAUUAAAAAACAUAGAAUUAUGCCGGAAUCGUUUAAACAAUUAUCCUAAACUUUUAUGCAUGAUUAGCUAUCAGAUCUGAAACUUAAAAACUCUAUUCCAAUUAAUCUCCAAAUAUCCAUCAAAUGGAUUCCGGAGAUGUCUCCGUGAGGAGCCCCAAAAGAGGAUAAAACCUCAAGGAAUCGGACCUAGAUCUUAACACCAUAAUAAAUGAUUAAUGCUAGAUUAAUACCUUUUAUGAUGGAUGAAAGUUGAGGAUCUGAUCCUUGACUUCGCAGCCACGCACACGAAUGGCCUCUACAAGAAGUACACGCGAAGUCCUGAAGGAUCUUCUUCCGCAACAGUGCUAGCAGUUGCAGAACACUUGAAGGCUGAAAUCUGCUCGCCGAGAUUCAAUCAACUCUUGAUCAAUCGUCUUGAAGCAGAUGGAGAUGAAAUUUGUAAGAAAGGUAGAGGACUCAGAUCUGAUCUUGAAUCUUCUAGAUAUCCACCCUGAAAAACCUAGCUAAAAUGAAGAAGAAGAGGAAGAGGAGGCGUGUGAGGAAGAAGGCUGCAAUGGAUGCUUUGCCGGCGCCCAUAUUCGACCCCUUUUAAUGGCCUCCGAAUUUCAUUCAAACUUCAAAAAUUAUCUUAAGAAAACCUCCUUUAGUUGGCGCAUGCAAUGGAAUAGGAACAACCCAAAUCAGAUAUCAACCAAAUCUGAUUUAAAUUCAAAUUUUAAACACAUGCGCAAGAGGAAAGGAAUUUGAAAUCCAUGCGGCAGAAUUUUCCUUCCUCUUGUCGCAUAUAUUUCAUUUGAAAUUCGAAUUUAAAUGAUUCAGAGGUUCACACGCCAACUUGAGAAGUUAUUUGAUGUAUGAAAUCAUUUAAUAUAUUGUUUAAUGUUUGAAUUCAAAUUCAAACAACAAACAAUGUCGCCAUAUGUCAUGCAAUGGGUCCAUGCGCCAUGCAAUAAUUUUGGUUUAUUUAAAAUUCAUGAAAUCCAAUUUCAUGUCACCACUAAUUGCCACAUCAUCUGAAAUUAAUCCCCUUGGGUUGCACCUAAUCAAAUUUGGUCAAACCCGGAUUACAACAAAGCAAUUUGGUUGAACCCAAUCUAAUCAGGUCAGACCCUGAUUGAGCUCAAAUUGAAUCCAAUUCAAUUUUUGGCUCAUCUAAACUCAAUCAAAUUGAAUUAAUUACUUUUUGUUGGACCUAAUCCAAUUAGGUCAAUCCCCAAUUAAGCGCAAAUUAAUUUAAAAUAAAUUUGAUCAGCUUAAGUCCUUUUUGGUUCUGAUCUAAUCCAAUGAGGUCAAAACCCUGAUUGAGCCCAAAGUUGAAUCCAAUUCAAUUUGGCUCAUCCUUAGCUCAAUUACUCAAUCAAAUUGAAUUCAUUAGCAAUAUAAUUACUAAUUAAUCCUCUGAUAAUUAAUUUAAUUAUUUUAUAAGAUAAUUUGCCAACUGAAUUGACCAAAUUAUCCCUAAAGAUUCUUUAUCAUUCAUCAGCCUUCUUGAUCAAUCAGGAAUCUUCUAUGCGUGUGACCUCAUAGGUUCGAACCUAAGCCGGUAGUAUAGGAACGACUUCCUACACUAAUCAACGUAACCAUCUAGCAAUGGUACCCGACAUCCGGAUAGGCCGAAUAUAUGCGAAACAAAUAUUCUGGAAUCCUGGACUAUGGUUACUGAAUAAUUCAAUCCCUUUGACUCCUAAUGCCAGGAUGACUUAGAGCUCACUGUCAACCCUAUAAUUAGUACAUCCAUUAUGUGAUUAACUUUAGAUAUCCCGUGACUCCCUACUAGGAUUACCCUGACCAAGAUUUUGCUAAAUUAAUCACAAGACAUUAUCUCCUGUUUUUCAGGAGGGCUCAAUUCCAUCCUCCCUCACAACUGACUACGCAAGUACUUGACUGCACCUAGUGAC